GGAAACGUGCCCGAGUAGGGACUACCUUGAUAGAGUAGACACGGAGACCAACAAACUCCCGCUUCCU
Molecule: transfer RNA, 67 nt
Filed under: Laticauda colubrina (yellow-lipped sea krait)
Lineage: Eukaryota; Metazoa; Chordata; Lepidosauria; Squamata; Elapidae
Description: tRNA-Ile
Source: RNAcentral